UCUGCCGGCGAGCGGCGGACGGGUGAGUAAAGUCUGGGGAUCUGGCUUAUGGAGGGGGAUAACCAUUGGAAACGGUAGCUAAUACCGCAUGAUGUCGCAAGACCAAAGUGGGGGACCUUAAGGCCUCACGCCAUGAGAUGAACCCAGAUGAGAUUAGCUAGUAGGUGCGGUAAUAGCGUACCUAGGCGACGAUCUCUAGCUGGUCUGAGAGGAUGACCAGCCACACUGGAACUGAGAGACGGUCCAGACUCCUACGGGAGGCAGCAGUGGGGAAUAUUGCACAAUAGGCGGAAGCCUGAUGCAGCCAUGCCGCGUGUGUGAAGAAGGCCUUAGGGUUGUAAAGCACUUUCAGCGGGGAGGAAGGCGGUAAGAGUAAUAUGCUUAUCGAUUGACGUUACCCGCAAAAGAAGCACCGGCUAACUCCGUGCCAGCAGCCGCGGUAAUACGGAGGGUGCGAGCGUUAAUCGGAAUAACUGGGCGUAAAGGGCAUGUAGGCGGUAAGUUAAGUCAGAUGUGAAAUCCCCGAGCUUAACUUGGGAACGGCAUUUGAGACUGGCUGGCUAGAGUUUUGUAGAGGGGGGUAGAAUUCCAGGUGUAGCGGUGAAAUGCGUAGAGAUCUGGAGGAAUACCGGUGGCGAAGGCGGCCCCCUGGACAAGGACUGACGCUGAGGUGCGAAAGCGUAGGUAGCAAACAGGAUUAGAUACCCUGGUAGUCCACGCUGUAAACGAUGUCGAUUUGGAGGUUGUGGCCUAGUGUUAUGACGUCCGAAGCUAACGCGAUAAAUCGACCGCCUGGGGAGUACGGCCGCAAGGUUAAAACUCAAAUGAAUUGACGGGGGCCCGCACAAGCGGUGGAGCAUGUGGUUUAAUUCGAUGCAACGCGAAGAACCUUACCUACUCUUGACAUCCACGGAAUUUGGCAGAGAUGCUUAAGUGCCUUCGGGAGCCGUGAGACAGGUGCUGCAUGGCUGUCGUCAGCUCGUGUUGUGAAAUGUUGGGUUAAGUCCCGCAACGAGCGCAACCCUUGUCCUUUGUUGCCAGCGCGUAGUGGUGGGAACUCAAAGGAGACUGCCGGUGAUAAACCAGAGGAAGGUGAGGAUGACGUCAAGUCAUCAUGGCCCUUACGAGUAGGGCUACACACGUGCUACAAUGGCGCAUACAAAAAGCGGCGAGCGUGCGAACGUAAGCGAACCUCAUAAAGUGCGUCGUAGUCCGGAUUGGAGUCUGCAACUCGACUCCAUGAAGUCGGAAUCGCUAGUAAUCGUGGAUCAGAAUGCCACGGUGAAUACGUUCCCGGGCCUUGUACACACCGCCCGUCACACCAUGGGAGUGGGCGGCAAAAGAAGUAGGUAGCUUAACCUUCGGGGGGGCGCUUACCACUUUGUGGUUCAUGACUGGGGUGAAGUCGUAACAAGGUA
This 1418-nucleotide ribosomal RNA is filed under the name Candidatus Regiella insecticola. RNAcentral describes it as "bacterial SSU rRNA". It matches the Rfam family "Bacterial small subunit ribosomal RNA". Lineage: Bacteria; Pseudomonadati; Pseudomonadota; Gammaproteobacteria; Enterobacterales; Enterobacteriaceae. The record is from RNAcentral.